Felis catus (domestic cat) is the source of this 84-nucleotide non-coding RNA. The record is from Rfam. NCBI's taxonomy places the organism in Eukaryota, Metazoa, Chordata, Mammalia, Carnivora, Felidae.
GCCUGGGUGGCUCAGUCGGUUAAGCGUCUGACUUCAGCUCAGGUCAUGAUCUCACACUUGUGAGUUCAAGCCCCGUGUCAGGCU